GCCCAUGCAUGAUAGCUCAGUCGUUAAGAGCAUGAGACUCUUAAACUCAGGGUCGUGAGUUCCAAGCCCCAUGUUGGGCA
Non-coding RNA from Podarcis lilfordi (Lilford's wall lizard), 80 nucleotides. The record is from the annotation of a GenBank genome assembly. Lineage: Eukaryota; Metazoa; Chordata; Lepidosauria; Squamata; Lacertidae.